Molecule: ribosomal RNA, 513 nt
Filed under: uncultured bacterium
Lineage: Bacteria
Description: partial 16S ribosomal RNA
Rfam family: Bacterial small subunit ribosomal RNA
Source: RNAcentral
GACGAACGCUGGCGGCGUGCUUAACACAUGCAAGUCGAACGAGAGCGUAGAGACAGCUUGCUUUUUCUACAAUCUAGUGGCAAACGGGUGAGUAACGCGUAAACAACCUGCCCUACGGAUGGGGACAACAGCUGGAAACGGCUGCUAAUACCGAAUACGUUCCGAAAGUCGCAUGACUAUCGGAAGAAAGGAUGGCCUCUAUUUAUAAGCUAUCGCCGGAGGAGGGGUUUGCGUCUGAUUAGCUAGUUGGAGGGGUAACGGCCCACCAAGGCGACGAUCAGUAGCCGGUCUGAGAGGAUGAACGGCCACAUUGGAACUGAGACACGGUCCAGACUCCUACGGGAGGCAGCAGUGGGGAAUCUUCCGCAAUGGGCGAAAGCCUGACGGAGCAACGCCGCGUGAGUGAAGACGGCCUUCGGGUUGUAGAGCUCUGUUAUACGGGACGAAUAAUCUUGUGGUUAAUACCCAUGAGAAGUGACGGUACCGUAAGAGAAAGCCACGGCUAACUACGUG